UGGGGUGUAGCCAAGUGGUAAGGCAGCGGCCUUUGGAGCCGCCAUCGCUGGUUCGAAUCCAGCCACCCCAGCCA
This 74-nucleotide transfer RNA is filed under the name Actinomycetes bacterium. RNAcentral's name for it is "tRNA-Gln". It matches the Rfam family "tRNA". Rfam says of the family: Transfer RNA (tRNA) molecules are approximately 80 nucleotides in length. Their secondary structure includes four short double-helical elements and three loops (D, anti-codon, and T loops). The record is from RNAcentral. Lineage: Bacteria; Bacillati; Actinomycetota; Actinomycetes. RNAcentral also lists the same sequence under 1 other name.